UACGUAGGGGGCAAGCGUUGUCCGGAAUCAUUGGGCGUAAAGCGCGUGUAGGCGGCCCGGUAAGUCCGCUGUGAAAGUCCAGGGCUCAACCCUGGAAUGCCGGUGGAUACUGUCGGGCUCGAGUCCGGAAGAGGCGAGUGGAAUUCCUGGUGUAGCGGUGAAAUGCGCAGAUAUCAGGAGGAACACCGAUGGCGAAGGCAGCUCGCUGGGACGGUACUGACGCUGAGACGCGAAGGCGUGGGGAGCGAACAGG
Molecule: ribosomal RNA, 253 nt
Filed under: uncultured bacterium
Lineage: Bacteria
Description: partial 16S ribosomal RNA
Rfam family: Bacterial small subunit ribosomal RNA
Source: RNAcentral